GGCAGGUGGUCCGUUAAGUCGUCUGUGAAAACCCGGGGCUCAACCCCGCGGAAUGCAGGCGAUACUGGCGGACUAGAGAUCGGUAGAGGCUAACGGAAUUCCUGGUGUAGCGGUGGAAUGCGUAGAUAUCAGGAAGAACACCCGUGGCGAAGGCGGUUAGCUGGGCCGAAUCUGACACUCAUCCGCGAAAGCGUGGGGAGCAAACA
This 206-nucleotide ribosomal RNA is filed under the name uncultured bacterium. RNAcentral describes it as "partial 16S ribosomal RNA". It matches the Rfam family "Bacterial small subunit ribosomal RNA", at positions 570 to 774 of the family's 1533-position model. The record is from RNAcentral.